UACGUAGGGGGCAAGCGUUGUCCGGAUUUAUUGGGCGUAAAGAGCGUGUAGGCGGCCAAGCAGGUCCGCUGUGAAAACUCGAGGCUCAACCUCGAGACGUCGGUGGAAACCGUUUGGCUAGAGUCCGGAAGAGGAGAGUGGAAUUCCCGGUGUAGCGGUGAAAUGCGCAGAUAUCAGGAAGAACACCCGUGGCGAAGGCGGCUCUCUGGAACGCAACUGACGCUGAGACGCGAGGGCGUGGGGAGCGAACGGG
Molecule: ribosomal RNA, 253 nt
Filed under: uncultured bacterium
Lineage: Bacteria
Description: partial 16S ribosomal RNA
Rfam family: Bacterial small subunit ribosomal RNA
Source: RNAcentral